RNAcentral lists this ribosomal RNA (110 nucleotides) under Heyndrickxia sporothermodurans. RNAcentral describes it as "partial 16S ribosomal RNA". It matches the Rfam family "Bacterial small subunit ribosomal RNA", at positions 1430 to 1533 of the family's 1533-position model. The record is from RNAcentral. Lineage: Bacteria; Bacillati; Bacillota; Bacilli; Caryophanales; Bacillaceae.
GUGAGGUAACCUUUUGGAGCCAGCCGCCGAAGGUGGGACAGAUGAUUGGGGUGAAGUCGUAACAAGGUAGCCGUAUCGGAAGGUGCGGCUGGAUCACCUCCUUUCUAAGG